UUUUAAAAUUAUAUUUAACUUGUGUAUAAAUUAUUUUAUAUUGUAUAUAUAUAAAUUGUGUUAAUUUUAUCCUGUAUGACGCUGUCAUAAAAAAGAUUAGUUAGGCCCAAUAUUUGCGUGAAGUGAAGUUAACGUUAAUGAGGCCCAACCUGUGCGUUAAUGAGGCCCAACCUGUGCGUGAAGUUUACGCUGAUGCUGUGAGUAUAAAGCUAUGAACUUAACCGUUUAUCAUCAUUAUCAGAGAUGGUGUAAGUACAAAGCUAUGAACUUUUUCUUCUUUCCCUUUUUUUUUCAUUCUUCUUUCCCAUUUUUUCAUUCUUCUUUCCCAUUUUUUCAUUCUUCUUUCUCUUUUCUCGAUUCAUAGCUUUAUUCUCCUUGCUAUGAACUUAACCGUUUAUCAUCAUCAGUGAACUAAACCUGUGCGUUGAAGUGUACGUUUACAGUGGGCAGCUUACAAGAGUGAUGCAUGAAGUUCUAGACAAAGGAAGUGGAGAAAAAAGAGUCCAAGUUUGCUCAAAGAUGCAACUCAGCUGUUCAAUCUCAUUGUAUGUUAGCGUCAGUGAACCGAGAGUUUAUAAUAGACAUAUUUUGUCAAUUUAUCAUGAAAAAUCAUUGUAACAGUGGAUUGCCUGAUUUGUGGAAUUUAGCUAUGAAAUCUGUUGUGUAUUGAACCGUAUCGAGAAAAUUUCCCGGAUUUGUGGAGUUUAUAAUCGACACAACGCUAUUGUUUGCCAUGUUACUUGGAGGUCAUUUAUUCAAAUCCUACAAAUAAUCUCUUCACUUGUGAGAGUCACUGGCGUACCUCUAUCCUCCUCGGAUCCCACUGGCGUACUUCUAUCCUCUCUUGUUUCAAUUUGCCUCCUUAAUGGACAUCAUUUCGUAUCUUCUUUAUUUCCAACUAUAAACAUAUAUAUGCUACCGGGGAAAUAUGAGCAAGGAAGAGAAAAUUCUCAUGGAAAGUGAAGGAAAACAAUCCGAGUGAAUCAGAUGAUAAGCUUAACAGCAGCGAUUAAUGGACUUUAGUGUGAGACUAUUUGACUAACUCUUGACCUAUUGAUGAUAGCUUGAGUUCCUAACUAACUUCUCAUGGCAUGUACUUUACUAUCCACAUAUUUUACUCGUAACUUCUAAUUAUUACACUGUGGUAUAUCGAUAUUUCCGUAGGUACUAACAUGUAUUUGACGGAACUUUUAGGAAUGAUGCAUCGUCUUUUGUGAGGCCAAUUCAAUUAAGAAACAUUGUACUUUCUGCUUUUUGUCGAGAUUGACUAUUCUGGAUUCGAAGUCUUCAGAUCUAAAUAUGCUAUUACUGAUUGCAGACCCUUUUGUUUUACCUGUAAAAUUACAAGGCUUAAGCAGACUAAUGGUGAAAAACUGGAUGGACAUUGCACCCUGGGCAGAGCUAAGUGACAAGCACAAGCUAUAUAUCAAGGAAGAACAAGAACAUGAAAAGCUGCAUUCGUACAGGGGCAGCUUACAAGUUGUUUUAGCACAGUUGUUUUUGUUUGAAGUUCUAGAUGAAUUAGCAAUCUAUUAUCUUCUUCAGACAAAGAAAGUGGAGAAAAAAGAGCCAAAGUUUGCUCAAAGAUGCAACAGAGCUGUUCAAUCUCUUUGUAUUGCAGGCUGUGCAUUGACGCAAUGGUAAGAUUGUUUGUCUUGGUCAUGGAGGUCUAGGUGGGAGCCUUGUGUACCAUGGGAGUUUGGCAAUUAUCUUAUGUCAG
Molecule: long non-coding RNA, 1720 nt
Filed under: Lupinus mutabilis
Lineage: Eukaryota; Viridiplantae; Streptophyta; Magnoliopsida; Fabales; Fabaceae
Description: partial ncRNA
Source: RNAcentral